UACGUAGGGGGCAAGCGUUGUCCGGAUUUAUUGGGCGUAAAGAGCGUGUAGGCGGUUUGGUAGGUCCGCUGUGAAAACUCGAGGCUCAACCUCGAGACGCCGGUGGAAACCAUCAGGCUAGAGUCCGGAAGAGGAGAGUGGAAUUCCUGGUGUAGCGGUGGAAUGCGCAGAUAUCAGGAGGAACACCAAUAGCGAAGGCAGCUCGCUGGGACGGUACUGACGCUAAGGUGCGAAAGCGUGGGGAGCGAACAGG
This 253-nucleotide ribosomal RNA is filed under the name uncultured bacterium. RNAcentral's name for it is "partial 16S ribosomal RNA". It matches the Rfam family "Bacterial small subunit ribosomal RNA", at positions 524 to 776 of the family's 1533-position model. The record is from RNAcentral.